RNAcentral lists this long non-coding RNA (383 nucleotides) under Androctonus crassicauda. Lineage: Eukaryota; Metazoa; Arthropoda; Arachnida; Scorpiones; Buthidae. The record is from RNAcentral.
UGUUUCGUCGACCUGAAGUUUAGAAGAAAAUGCAUAAAAAUAUACGAAAUAAUUAUAAUAGGAUAAAAAGUAGAUACAAACCUCUACAUGGAGCCCUGGACCUCCAAUUUGCAGAGGCAUAUGGGAGACGGCAAUCUCUGCUACUUCACGGCAGUACGAGUAAAUAUCUACCGCGGUGUUCUGACCGACGCUGGCAUGAUCUUUUGCCAUCAUCAUGUCCAGGCCCACCACCCAAUAAAACAACAAGGUUAAAAUCUGUAGGAAAAAAUGAGAUAGAUUAGAAAAGAAUCAUCAUAUGAGAAAUCAAGCAAGCAGAGAAGGAAUACAUACCUUGUAAAUUGGGAGGUGGACACGUUCAAACCAGGUGUUAUCGGUUGGCUGGA